This 517-nucleotide ribosomal RNA is filed under the name uncultured bacterium. RNAcentral's name for it is "bacterial SSU rRNA". It matches the Rfam family "Bacterial small subunit ribosomal RNA", at positions 355 to 887 of the family's 1533-position model. The record is from RNAcentral.
UGGGGAAUAUUGGACAAUGGGCGCAAGCCUGAUCCAGCAAUGCCGCGUGGAUGAAGAAGGUUUUCGGAUUGUAAAGUCCUUUCGGCGGGGACGAUGAUGACGGUACCCGCAGAAGAAGCCCCGGCUAACUUCGUGCCAGCAGCCGCGGUAAUACGAAGGGGGCUAGCGUUGCUCGGAAUGACUGGGCGUAAAGGGCGCGUAGGCGGAUGUGACAGUCAGGGCGUGAAAUUCCUGGGCUCAACCUGGGGACUGCGUUUGAUACGUCAUGUCUUGAGUGGGGAAGAGGGUCGUGGAAUUCCCAGUGUAGAGGUGAAAUUCGUAGAUAUUGGGAAGAACACCGGUGGCGAAGGCGGCGACCUGGUCCUUUUACUGACGCUGAGGCGCGAAAGCGUGGGGAGCAAACAGGAUUAGAUACCCUGGUAGUCCACGCUGUAAACGAUGUGCGCUGGAUGUUGGGGGGCCUAGCCCUUCAGUGUCGCAGCUAACGCGAUAAGCGCACCGCCUGGGGAGUACGGCC